This 274-nucleotide ribosomal RNA is filed under the name uncultured bacterium. RNAcentral describes it as "partial 16S ribosomal RNA". It matches the Rfam family "Bacterial small subunit ribosomal RNA", at positions 523 to 796 of the family's 1533-position model. The record is from RNAcentral.
AUACGGAGGGUGCAAGCGUUAUUCGGAAUCACUGGGCGUAAAGGACACGUAGGCGGGAAGCCAAGUCUGAUGUGAAAUCCUACAGCUUAACUGUAGAACUGCAUUGGAAACUGGUUACCUAGAGUAUGGGAGGGGGAGAUGGAAUUAGUGGUGUAGGGGUAAAAUCCGUAGAUAUCACUAGGAAUACCUAAAGCGAAGGCGAUCUCCUGGAACAUUACUGACGCUAAGGUGUGAAAGCGUGGGGAGCAAACGGGAUUAGAAACCCUUGUAGUCC